RNAcentral lists this long non-coding RNA (1561 nucleotides) under Chlamydomonas reinhardtii. RNAcentral describes it as "long non-coding RNA (CREI_LNC001425)". The record is from RNAcentral. Lineage: Eukaryota; Viridiplantae; Chlorophyta; Chlorophyceae; Chlamydomonadales; Chlamydomonadaceae.
GCCAGCCCAGAAGGCCAUGUAAGAGCUCCCAAAUGUAGUGUUUGUUAUGUGGGAACAUAGGGGCGAGAAGUCUGGGGCGAGGCCUGUGGGAUCAUUGGGGCGGCCUCGCCCCUGCCGAGCCCCUGAACCCCCCAGCGUGCCCCCCAGUAACCCUCCGGCAGUCGCUGACGGCCGAGCUCAGACCGCCGCGCUUCCUGAGCUGUAAACUUACUUUAGUAAUGUAGUUGCAUGUAGUGUAUGCUUCCUGAGCAUAGGAAGCACCUGAGCAGCUGGCUGUGUCGACCGAGGCAGCAAUGAACCCCCCCGGUCACUGCUGUCACUUGGCGCAUGGCUUUAGCGGUUGAUAUCAAUAGUCUGUUAUGCAUUUAGAGUACUUGUCCCAGAAAUUCGGGCUUUUCGGGUGUCUCAGAGAAAGUGGUCGAGCGUCCCCCGGCCGGGGGACGCAAACCCAUGUUUGUCAACUCGUCGAGUUGUGUAUUUGAACUUGGCCACACUGUGUAUAUUGACUAAUGCCUAUAAAAAUCAAUCAACCCCAACACCCAAAGCCUUCCAGGAGUGUAGAGUACUUUACAUCACCGGGUUGAGGCCGUUUUCUCCUUCUUACAUCCUUCCUAGUACACUAAGUUAAAAGCUGACAUCUUUCCCAGUACAUUACGCAGGCCUUCCGUUGGGGUCUGAGGGAAAAACGCUGGCCUCUGCAUGGGGUUCCUGCGGGCCUUCAACUUCAAGCAGCCAAUUUACAUAUGCUGUGAUAACUGAUAUACCGGUGUACAUAUAAUUUAUAUACUACAUUUCAUUAUAGAGCGUUUGCUCGCUCUCCCUCAUUCCGCCCCUCGCCAGUCGCUAUUUUGCUUUGUAAACACAAAAAUAAGGCUAGUUCUAAUGUCAGUAGAACAAGAGCUGGUGGCUGAGGCUGCUUUGUUGGCUUGGGACGCGAGUUCUCGCGCUGCUGACCGCUCGUUGACCAGCUCGGCGACGCUGCUGCUGAGACGUCAGCUGAAGCCAGCUAUCACACGAGACUUACAACUGUGCCUCAUAAAUGAUCAGCUGUGCUUUUAAUGUUUUAAUGGGGAAGUCUUGGUCAAAAACGCCAUAGAUUCAACAUCACGUUCAGCACGACCGUUGUCGCGCCUCACGGAAGUCCACAGGCUAGUCCACAGGUUAAAAUGAAGACGGGAGGCUUUAAACCUGCAGCCUGGAUUGCCCGCCCGGCCAUAUGUCACAACCCCGUGUGUGUAUGUGUACUUGCAGGAUCAUCCUCCGCCAUGCUCUUGAGGACGAUUCUAGGAGCUGUUCGAGGGUGAGUCCAUGGGAAAUAUGUUUGAGGAGAUGCCGUAGAUGCAGGUAGAUGCAGGUCCCCAGCGGCUGCAACCCUGGCGCAAGAUGGUUCGCAACCCCUUCACUCACAUUGUGUUCGCUAGUCGGAGCCCCAGCCAUCAAGAGAUGACUGUUUGCUGCCUCCCUUACUAGCGCUGUAUGGUAUGUAUGUCUAUAUCACUUCCUGGUACCUCUAGUCCGUGUCACAUACCCGCCUGCUGCCACACGCCCCUUCCCCCAGGUC